This 415-nucleotide ribosomal RNA is filed under the name uncultured Funneliformis. RNAcentral describes it as "partial 28S ribosomal RNA". The record is from RNAcentral. Lineage: Eukaryota; Fungi; Glomeromycota; Glomeromycetes; Glomerales; Glomeraceae.
GAGAGUUAAACAGUACGUGAAAUUGUUGAAAGGGAAACGAUUGAAGUCAGUCAUACCAACGGGAAAUCAACCUUUUGAGUUUGUUCUUGUGGGUUUCGAGGAGUUUAAAAGCCUUCUGAUUUGCUAGGAUUGGGCUCUUUUGGUGUACUUUCUCGUACGGUUAGUCAACAUCGGUUUUGAAUGUCAUAAAAUGACUGGAGGAAUGUGGCUUCGAUCUCGUAUCGAAGUGUUAUAACCUUUGGUAGAUGUGAUGUUCGAGACCGAGGAUUGCAACGGAUACCUUUCUGGGCUAUUCGUCUGAUCUCUGAUACGUUGCCUUGAUGUCGAAAGCGUGCUUAUGAUGUUAGGGUAUUACGGUCAAAAGGUUAGAACGGAUUAAAUUCGUUAAGGAUGUUGACGUAAUGACUUUAAACGA